RNAcentral lists this ribosomal RNA (393 nucleotides) under uncultured bacterium. Its description in RNAcentral is "bacterial SSU rRNA". It matches the Rfam family "Bacterial small subunit ribosomal RNA", at positions 28 to 424 of the family's 1533-position model. The record is from RNAcentral.
GACGAACGCUGGCGGCGUGCUUAACACAUGCAAGUCGAGCGGUAAGGCCCUUUCGGGGGUACGACGAGCGGCGAACGGGUGAGUAACACGUGGGUGACCUGCCCUCAGCUCUGGGAUAAGCCUGGGAAACCGGGUCUAAUACCGGAUAUGACUCCAUGACGCAUGUUGUGGGGUGGAAAGCCUUGUGCGGCUGAGGAUGGGCCCGCGGCCUAUCAGCUUGUUGGUGGGGUGAUGGCCUACCAAGGCGACGACGGGUAGCCGGCCUGAGAGGGCGACCGGCCACACUGGGACUGAGACACGGCCCAGACUCCUACGGGAGGCAGCAGUGGGGAAUCUUGCGCAAUGGGCGAAAGCCUGACGCAGCGACGCCGCGUGAGGGAUGACGGCCUGGUU